GGUGGGAGAGGGUUGCAGAGUGGUUUUGGAAUUUGCACUUGCUUUUAAAUCCCAAAACUACUCUGAUCCCCUCUCUCUCU
RNAcentral lists this unclassified non-coding RNA (80 nucleotides) under Apopellia endiviifolia. Its description in RNAcentral is "pre-pen-miR8190". The record is from RNAcentral. Lineage: Eukaryota; Viridiplantae; Streptophyta; Jungermanniopsida; Pelliales; Pelliaceae.